CUCCUAGCUAUAACAUUUUCAAUCUUUCUCUUCGAAAGGGGUUUGAGGUUUUGCUAGGAUAAAGGUUGAUCAUUAAAUUGUAGGCAAAGUUAAGAGAAGAAAGAGGAUUAUAGAUUAUGAAAAAGUAUUUGAUGCUAAUGCUCUCACCUAUUUCUGUUAAGCCGAUUACGAUCGUUGUGUGGACUUAAUCGAGAGCAAUUAAUUUCUUGGGCCAAGAAUCAUAGCAUUUAAAAUCUAAGGUUGGAAGAUUA
This 251-nucleotide long non-coding RNA is filed under the name Phoenix dactylifera (date palm). Its description in RNAcentral is "long non-coding RNA (PDAC_LNC010640)". Lineage: Eukaryota; Viridiplantae; Streptophyta; Magnoliopsida; Arecales; Arecaceae. The record is from RNAcentral.